AGUUACGCUGUGCCAGUGGGAGAGAGAGGAUGUUCGCCGCGCGCUCCGUGCUAGAUAUAUGUAGCUAAAGUGUUUGUGAAAACAUCAUACUUUCUAGAUAAAGGAAAAUAACGAAACACUAAGCAAACGAAGAAGA
Non-coding RNA from Penaeus vannamei (Pacific white shrimp), 136 nucleotides. NCBI's taxonomy places the organism in Eukaryota, Metazoa, Arthropoda, Malacostraca, Decapoda, Penaeidae. The record is from RefSeq and is a predicted model, not a curated record.